UGGGGAAUAUUGCACAAUGGGCGAAAGCCUGAUGCAGCAACGCCGCGUGAGUGAUGAAGGCCUUCGGGUUGUAAAGCUCUGUCUUUUGGGACGAUAAUGACGGUACCAAAGGAGGAAGCCACGGCUAACUACGUGCCAGCAGCCGCGGUAAUACGUAGGUGGCAAGCGUUGUCCGGAUUUACUGGGCGUAAAGGAUGCGUAGGCGGAUUUUUAAGUGAGAUGUGAAAACCCUAAGCUUAACUUGGGGACUGCAUUUCAUACUGGAAAUCUAGAGUGCGGGAGAGGAGAAUGGAAUUCCUAGUGUAGCGGUGAAAUGCGUAGAGAUUAGGAAGAACACCAGUGGCGAAGGCGAUUCUCUGGACCGUAACUGACGCUGAGGCAUGAAAGCGUGGGUAGCAAACAGGAUUAGAUACCCUGGUAGUCCACGCCGUAAAUGAUGAGUACUAGGUGUAGGAGGUAUCGACCCCUUCUGUGCCGCAGUUAACACAAUAAGUACUCCGCCUGGGAAGUACGAUCGCAAGAUUAAAACUCAAAUGAAUUGACGGGGGUCAUAGCUGUUUUUCCU
RNAcentral lists this ribosomal RNA (565 nucleotides) under uncultured bacterium. RNAcentral describes it as "partial 16S ribosomal RNA". It matches the Rfam family "Bacterial small subunit ribosomal RNA", at positions 355 to 940 of the family's 1533-position model. The record is from RNAcentral.